ACAGUGGUUGUUGAGGUAGUGGAUGUUAGUGUACUUGGAGACGUUGUAGUAGGAGUACACUGGUAGUCUGGUUCACAACAUUUGAGACGUAUUUCAUAAUUAUAACAAAGUGGUGGCAUGCCAUUUGAAUUGUCUUCAUUUGAACAUGACAGUCCAAAUGAUGUAUUGCAAUAAAGUGUUUGUCCCAAAUCUUGCAGAGACUUUUGGGGAUAAUUUACUGCCCUACAUUCAAUCACUUCAGGGCUCUGACAGAUAAUCUUUCCUGAAUUCCACAAUUGAUCAAUGGAUUCAGUUUCGAAUCCUUCUGGCUCUGUACUGGGUGUGUUGCCAUCAAUCCAAUCUGACCAUGUGCAUCUAUCAGCACAGAUGGGAGUUGUUGUUGUAGCAGUAGUUGUACUAAUUGUAGAUGGUGUUUCUGUUGAAGUAGGUGUUAUUGUAACAGUUGUAGGUGAUGUUUCUGUUGACGUAGGUGUCGAUGUUCCAGUAGUUGGAGUAGUAGUGGAUGUGAUUGUGGGUGAUGUUUCUGUUGACGUAGGUGUCGAUGUUCCAGUAGUUGUAGUGGUAGUGGAUGUGAU
Sinocyclocheilus rhinocerous is the source of this 575-nucleotide long non-coding RNA. RefSeq lists it as uncharacterized. NCBI's taxonomy places the organism in Eukaryota, Metazoa, Chordata, Actinopteri, Cypriniformes, Cyprinidae. The transcript is spliced from 3 exons. The record is from RefSeq and is a predicted model, not a curated record.